Triticum aestivum (bread wheat) is the source of this 836-nucleotide long non-coding RNA. RefSeq lists it as uncharacterized. The record is from RefSeq and is a predicted model, not a curated record. The transcript has 2 exons. NCBI's taxonomy places the organism in Eukaryota, Viridiplantae, Streptophyta, Magnoliopsida, Poales, Poaceae.
CCCCCAACAAACUCCUAACUACCGAUCCUAAAAGGGUGCAUAAAGGGAUCAGAAGGCCAUCACCACAGCCGGCCACCGCAAGGAUUUGCCGGCGGCUUCUUGCUGCUCUACACCGACCAGUCGCUGGUUGAUGCCGGCCAUCUCUAGUGCCGGUAGCCUUCUGGGCGUCUUCUACCUACUGCUGGCUACGUUCACGCUUUCGGCCAUGGGCCAUUCACUCGGCGCUGUUCCGCUUCGCCAACUAUUCCCGUGUGCUGCAUCGACUAGAGCCUGCAUCAAGAGUAUGGGAUUUCGUCAAGCACCUCAUCUAGCUUGGUGGUUGAUGGAUGCUCCACCGUGAUCAGAUCACAUCAGAUGGCCUACUGAUUUUUAUAUCAUGCCCCCCUUUUCCGGUUGUUGAACAAAGCAGAGCGGGGCCAGGCGAACAACCAGUGCAGUACAAUCUAGCUUAAUUUCCGCCGACCGGCCGUGGAUGGUUUCAUGUCUAAUCAUACGUACGUACUCCGCAGCUGCAUCUGUAGUUGAUCGCCUUCCACUCAGUGUAUCAUCGUGGAUCUCCCAACCAGGCUGCACUUGUCCCUAUACUCGCACAAUUGUAUAGAGUAUUAGAAAACGAUUAUAUAAUUGUAUCUUCUAUUUUUGGUGGGGUGUGACUCGAGAAUUAUUUUUCUUUACGAGAAGCUAGCUACCAUUUCACCAUUGAGGUGGAUGGCUCCACACACGUACCAUACAUAAGCUUAAUCUUUUCGGAAAAAGAAACUAUGCAAAACCUUCUCCUGCAUCUUUAUGUAAACUUGAACCUCCAACAAGGAAUACACAGUACAGAUGCACACUCA